AUUGAACGCUGGCGGCAUGCCUUACACAUGCAAGUCGAACGGUAACAGGUCUUCGGAUGCUGACGAGUGGCGAACGGGUGAGUAAUACAUCGGAACGUGCCCGAUCGUGGGGGAUAACGGAGCGAAAGCUUUGCUAAUACCGCAUACGAUCUACAGAUGAAAGCAGGGGACCGCAAGGCCUUGCGCGGACGGAGCGGCCGAUGGCCGAUUAGGUAGUUGGUGGGAUAAAAGCUUACCAAGCCGACGAUCUGUAGCUGGUCUGAGAGGACGACCAGCCACACUGGGACUGAGACACGGCCCAGACUCCUACGGGAGGCAGCAGUGGGGAAUUUUGGACAAUGGGCGAAAGCCUGAUCCAGCCAUGCCGCGUGCAGGAUGAAGGCCUUCGGGUUGUAAACUGCUUUUGUACGGAACGAAAAGACUCUUUCUAAUAAAGAGGGUCCAUGACGGUACCGUAAGAAUAAGCACCGGCUAACUACGUG
RNAcentral lists this ribosomal RNA (482 nucleotides) under uncultured bacterium. Its description in RNAcentral is "partial 16S ribosomal RNA". It matches the Rfam family "Bacterial small subunit ribosomal RNA", at positions 30 to 507 of the family's 1533-position model. The record is from RNAcentral.